UCUAAAUGGAUAUGGGAAAUAAAUUGGGAAAAAUAAAAAUAAUGACACGACAUAACAAUUCUAUUUUCCCCUGUUUUGUGGCAGAUGGUGCUCCACUAGCAAACAGACAACUUCAGUCAGAAUAUUGAAGAUCAUAGAGGUGGAAAUAAAGCAUCUGCCGCUGAAUAGCAAGAAGCAGCUCCAUAGAGGAAUAUUCUAAAUAUUGUGCUGAGGACCAAGAUGGCAGGAUUUAGGUGGUCUUCAUUGGCUUUCAGAUGGCUGGAUUUUGACUUCUCUUUAUCUUCACUGAUCUCCCGAUGGCCGGAAUUCGACUUCUCAUACUUGACACCAAGGUGGGCUCCACACAGUUUCCAGUGGCCUGAUCUUGACUUCUCUGUUGUGGAUAAUGUCAUGUGGACUUUGAUCACAGUGUUCGAGUCCUUUGCCUUGGCUGCAAUGCUCUGCUUCUUCUUCAUCUGCUGUGGUUGUACCUUCUGAUUUGUCCAGCGCACCGGCUAGCC
Telopea speciosissima is the source of this 500-nucleotide long non-coding RNA. RefSeq lists it as uncharacterized. The transcript is spliced from 2 exons. The record is from RefSeq and is a predicted model, not a curated record. Lineage: Eukaryota; Viridiplantae; Streptophyta; Magnoliopsida; Proteales; Proteaceae.